RNAcentral lists this long non-coding RNA (2630 nucleotides) under Nicotiana benthamiana. RNAcentral's name for it is "long non-coding RNA (NBEN_LNC037405)". The record is from RNAcentral. Lineage: Eukaryota; Viridiplantae; Streptophyta; Magnoliopsida; Solanales; Solanaceae.
CACUUCCAUCUUCCUUUGAAUCCAAAUCCCAACCCUAGGCGCCCCAAAAUCCUCGCCACCGGCCAGCCGUAACACCACCAAACGACCUCUAAAUCUGCCCAAAUCCGUACCACAUACUGCUCACGUUCACUUCACCACUAUGCCACUAUUAAUCUCCAAAGAUCAAGCAGACUGCUCUCAUAUUCGAAUCUAGAGAUUCUAGAAAGAAGAGCCCAAUUUUCUUUUUCGAUUUUUUCACAAAAACAUCCGACUCGCUUUGACUGAAAAACUUAUGUUGAUAGAUUACUCACAAGAAGAUCAAUCACUUACCGAUACUUUUAAGUUAUUCUGAGACCAUCGGACUUAGGUAGACUCGUCGGAUUCCGGUCAAAGCUCAUCGUUCUAUCCACCUGCCGGAGUUCAUCAUCUUAUUUUUUUUCUUAGGUCAGGUUUGGGGUAAGGACUCUUACUGUUUGUCUUUCAUCAUUGUCUUGGCUUGCAUGGUUCAAAUUUUAAAUUUAUUUUAGGUUAGUUCUAGUGUUUAUUAGAGCUUGUUUGAAUCUUCAUCCCAAUGGUUGGAUUAGUAAGCUUUAACAGCUUUUUUGGUGAGCGUCGCUUAGGUGUUAGUCUCUUCUUGAUUUCUGCUCCCACAUCAUUCCAGAAUUGAUUCAUGAUAAAAUUAUAUAAGGUUAGGGUUAAUUUAAGGUUUAAUUGUAUAAAUAUUUUGGUCUUUUAAAUCUUUGAUUUUUGCCAAUUUUGGUUUUGUUUUGUUGGUUUUGACUUGUGAACAAUUAGAGUUAUGAGGGGGUGAAUUGAACAAAUAAAAAAACUUAAGAGGUCUUGGAAGGGUUUGAAAUAGUAUUUCUUUUCAGAUAAGGCUAAGAAGUUUCUAGAAUUUUGGGCAGUUGGCUAAAUUUGGCCCAGCAUAAGAUGCUAGAACCAAUAAGAGACAGCCACAAAUCUGAUUUUUAUUAUUCCUCACUUAGAGCACACAUUUGAAACUCUAUAAAAGGAAUAACACUCCUUUAUUAAAGGGGACUCGCACAAAAAAAAGAAAGAAAAACAAAACAUAAAAAGGGAAAAACUAAGAGAAUAAUUAUUAAAAAGUUGGUUUAGCUACUUUCUUUAGUAUUUUCUAGGUUGAGAAGCUAUUAAAUCUUAGCACUAUGGGCAACUAAUUAUUGCUGCAUUUUUUCUGUUCAAUCAAGGCUUUAUUUGCUUUCAAGUCUAGCUAUUUUUGGUCAUUUCCUUUCCUGUUGAUCUUUGUUGAUAGGUAUGUAGUCUAUCUCUUGUCAAAUUUUCUUUGAAAUAUGGAUUCAGAGAUAUGGUUUACUCCAGCUAUGCCUCUGUACAUCUGUGCAGUAAUUGGGUGUAUUUUUAUGUUUAUUGUUUAAGUCCACCUAUUGUUUGUUUCAUAUCAUAGUACAUGAAUCAUAUAUCAGCUAUCAAUAAUUUUUAGACUGUUUUAUAUCUAGUUAAAAUAUAGUUUCUUUGAUUGCAAGUUGAAUAAGCUAGUACAAGUUCAAUCUGUAAAUGAAGCAAGUUUGAUCAUUAUACCACCAUUUGUAGUUUUUCUUUAAGUGUUAAAUCUGAGUGUGAGUUGGUCACACUCAAGGAUCUGUAUGGAUAAAAUGCUGUUGCGAAGUCUUAUAGUAGUUUAAAUAGUGGUAUGAGCAUUACAAUACCAUAAUAUGAUUUAACUUUAUUGUUCUGAAUUGCUAUAGGCUCUUGCUGGUUUGAUUAUAUAGAUUUGUGGUAUUUGAAAGUUAGUAAACCUUCAAUGUUUCCUUAAAUGACCUUAUUUAAAAGUUGUUUGGCCUGUAUUUUUUCUAAGUUUUGUUUUGUGUUAAAAUCAUGGAAUAUUACAGUCUUCCUAACAAUUUAUUAUCAUUUGUUUUCUAUUGUGACAAUGUGGUUGUAGAUUUGCAAGCUAGCUCUAUAUCUCGCCUUGAAAAUGCAAACUUCUUUUGAAUUACCAAUUUUCAGCGACUGGAGCAGCUUGCAUUAACGGAGGAUCAUCAUGUUUUGUGGGGCUUUAAUUAAUGAUUAGCUAGAUUUUAUGGUUGUUAAGCUUUUAUGAUUUGGGUUUUAUAUAAAUUAUUUUUAUCAUUCAUCUUGUAUAAGUUAAUUUAGUGGUUCUUUGGUAUGGUUAGGCAUUAUUAAUUUAAAAAUUAUAUGCAAUUAUUGAUUAACUGUAGUUUAAAAGAUUUAGCAGGCCUUGGUACUGAUUGGUCCUGGCUUUGGCUCAAUUGAGCACCCUGUGUGAAACCAGGCACGGAAUGUUAUGGUUCUGUUUUGCCUUCGCGUCUGAACCCAAUGUCGAGCCCAAAUGCCUUCAGCAUUUUCACUCGUCAAUUAGCCUUCAAUAAUUUGUGGCCCACAUUCCUCCUUAGGCCAUAUUCCUUUAGUGUAAAUAAUUUCAAAUAAACAAAGGGCCUGAUAUAUCUCCUCAUAAAGGCUUGUAAUUGGCAGUCCUUCUGGAAUACCAAAUUUAGUUUAAAGAUGAUCCCUCGUAAUUUACCUUAGGCACAUAAUUAAAACAUCACAAUUAUGAGUUUGGCUUCCGUGGCAUAAUUGUGCUAUGUAAUUAGUUUAAAUAUGAAUAUCUGUAGUUCAUAUAAUUGAAUGCAUUUCUUUUGAAAGAAAAUGAG